UCCUACCCUCGCUAGGCAUGACUAUUGUAGUGUAAAAUUUGUGCAAAAAGAUAAGUUUGGGGUGGUAAUCCUUAGAAGAAAUGUUGGAAAAAGGGCAAGUGCAAGAAAAAGAAAAAGAAAAACUGUGUAGAAACAUCCGCUUCUACCGGAAAAAAAAAAGAGAAAAAGAAAUGAAAAAAAUAGAGAAAUGAAGUAUAAUCACUUGCCUAGGCAAUAGACUCAUGCAUUAAUGUGAUACUCUAAAGAAAAAUUCGAGUGAAAAAGAGUCAAGAUUGGACGACACCCCAUAAAAUAAUUCUUGCACAAAGAAAAACAACAACAUGAAUGCCGAGUUAUAAAACCUUUUGUCAUCCAUUUUUUUGUCUACUCUCCCACCGUACCUAAGCCCCGUUACAACCCAGAAGACCUCUUAAAGUGUGUG
This 421-nucleotide long non-coding RNA is filed under the name Lathyrus oleraceus (garden pea). RNAcentral describes it as "Pisum sativum (pea) long non-coding RNA (PSAT_LNC010440)". Lineage: Eukaryota; Viridiplantae; Streptophyta; Magnoliopsida; Fabales; Fabaceae. The record is from RNAcentral.